GAUGAACGCUAGCGGCAGGCUUAACACAUGCAAGUCGAGGGGUAUGCCGAUUUAUCGGCAGAGACCGGCGCACGGGUGCGUAACGCGUAUGCAAUCUACCUUUCACAGAGGGAUAGCCCAGAGAAAUUUGGAUUAAUACCUCAUAGUAUUUUUGAAUCGCAUGAUUUGAUUAUUAAAGUUCCAACGGUAAAGGAUGAGUAUGCGUCCCAUUAGCUAGAUGGUAAGGUAACGGCUUACCAUGGCAAUGAUGGGUAGGGUCCUGAGAGGGAGAUCCCCCACACUGGUACUGAGACACGGACCAGACUCCUACGGGAGGCAGCAGUGAGGAAUAUUGGACAAUGGGGCGCAAGCCUGAUCCAGCCAUGCCGCGUGCAAGGAAUAAGGUCCUAUGGAUUGUAAACUG
This 403-nucleotide ribosomal RNA is filed under the name uncultured bacterium. RNAcentral describes it as "bacterial SSU rRNA". It matches the Rfam family "Bacterial small subunit ribosomal RNA", at positions 28 to 432 of the family's 1533-position model. The record is from RNAcentral.